CCCUUAGAUGUUCGGGGCCGCACGCGCGCUACACUGAUGGGGACAGCGUGUUUGCCAUUCCUGGUCCGGCAGGAUUGGGCAAUCCGUUGAACCCCCGUCGUGAUUGGGAUCGGAGCUUGUAACUAUUCUCCGUAAACGAGGAAUUCCCAGUAAGCGCAAGUCAUCAGCUUGCGUUGAUUACGUCCCUGCCCUUUGUACACACCGCCCGUCGCUCCUACCGAUUGAAUGUGUUGGUGAGGAGCUCGGAUUGGCAGCAGUUGGUGGUUCGCCACCGGCUAUUGCUGAGAAGUCCUCCAAACCGCCCCAUUUAGAGGAAGGAGAAGUCGUAACA
This 331-nucleotide ribosomal RNA is filed under the name uncultured eukaryote. RNAcentral's name for it is "partial 18S ribosomal RNA". It matches the Rfam family "Eukaryotic small subunit ribosomal RNA", at positions 1470 to 1796 of the family's 1831-position model. The record is from RNAcentral.